Molecule: unclassified non-coding RNA, 379 nt
Filed under: uncultured Pseudomonadota bacterium
Lineage: Bacteria; Pseudomonadati; Pseudomonadota
Description: uncultured proteobacterium contains 16S-23S intergenic spacer region
Source: RNAcentral
UCCGGCUUGUCGCCGGCGGUCCCUCUAGAGUGCCCAACUGAAUGAUGGCAACUAAAGGCGAGGGUUGCGCUCGUUGCGGGACUUAACCCAACAUCUCACGACACGAGCUGACGACAGCCAUGCAGCACCUGUGUUCCGAUUCCCUUUCGGGCACCCCCACCUCUCAGCAGGGUUCCGGACAUGUCAAGGGUAGGUAAGGUUCUUCGCGUUGCGUCGAAUUAAACCACAUGCUCCGCUGCUUGUGCGGGUCCCCGUCAAUUCCUUUGAGUUUUAGUCUUGCGACCGUACUUCCCAGGCGUAGUACUUAAUGCGUUAGCUGCGGCACUGCAGGGGUCAAUACCCGCAACACCCAGUACUCAUCGUUUACGGCGUGGACUAC